GACGAACGCUGGCGGCGUGCUUAACACAUGCAAGUCGAACGAUGAAGCCGGAGCUUGCUCUGGUGAAUUAGUGGCGAACGGGUGAGUAACACGUGAGUAACCUGCCCUUGACUCUGGGAUAACUGCGGGAAACUGUAGCUAAUACCGGAUACGACCCUCGGAGGCAUCUCCUGGGGGUGGAGAGAAUGUCGGUCAAGGAUGGACUCGCGGCCUAUCAGCUAGUUGGUGAGGUAAAGGCUCAACAAGGCGACGACGGGUAGCCGGCCUGAGAGGGUGACCGGCCACACUGGGACUGAGACACGGCCCAGACUCCUACGGGAGGCAGCAGUGGGGAAUAUUGCACAAUGGGCGCAAGCCUGAUGCAGCAACGCCGCGUGAGGGAUGACGGCCUUCGGGUUGUAAACCUCUUUUAGCAGGGAAGAAGCGAAAGUGACGGUACCUGCAGAAAAAGCACCGGCUAACUACGUGCCAGCAGCCGCCGUAA
This 484-nucleotide ribosomal RNA is filed under the name uncultured bacterium. Its description in RNAcentral is "partial 16S ribosomal RNA". It matches the Rfam family "Bacterial small subunit ribosomal RNA", at positions 28 to 523 of the family's 1533-position model. The record is from RNAcentral.